GGUGUUGUAGCUCAGUGGUUAGAGCAUCAGCCUUGCAUGCAGAAGGUCCCAGGUUCAAUCCCUGGCAUUUCCG
Molecule: non-coding RNA, 73 nt
Organism: Zootoca vivipara (common lizard)
Lineage: Eukaryota; Metazoa; Chordata; Lepidosauria; Squamata; Lacertidae
Source: the annotation of a RefSeq genome assembly